CGGGGUGACCGGAUAGUCGCUCUAUGUGAGAGGAAAGUCCGGGCUUCACAGGGCAGGAUGCUUCCUAACAGGAAGGUUGUUUCCGCGCUUCUCUCAAAGGACGGAAACAAACGGAAAGUGCCACAGAAAAUAUACCGUCCGCCUCAGGCGGAUAAGGGUGAAAAGGCGAGGUAAGAGCUCACCGCUCCUGUGGUGACACAGGAGGCACGGCAAACCCCAUCCGAAGCAAAACCAAGCAGGCCCCGUAUGAAGCGGCCCGCUUCUUCUGCAUACUGCAGAAACGGGGUGGGUAGGUUGCGCAGAGCCUGGUAGUGAUACCAGGACAAGAUAAAUGACUAUCUAAAACAGAACCCGGCUUACGGGUCACCCCACUGU
This 375-nucleotide RNase P RNA is filed under the name Caldifarciminota bacterium. RNAcentral describes it as "RNase P RNA component class A". It matches the Rfam family "Bacterial RNase P class A". Rfam says of the family: Ribonuclease P (RNase P) is a ubiquitous endoribonuclease, found in archaea, bacteria and eukarya as well as chloroplasts and mitochondria. Its best characterised activity is the generation of mature 5'-ends of tRNAs by cleaving the 5'-leader elements of precursor-tRNAs. The record is from RNAcentral. Lineage: Bacteria; Pseudomonadati; Caldifarciminota.